AGCAAAUGAUGUAAAAACUGACA
Molecule: non-coding RNA, 23 nt
Filed under: Cricetulus griseus (Chinese hamster)
Lineage: Eukaryota; Metazoa; Chordata; Mammalia; Rodentia; Cricetidae
Source: RNAcentral